Molecule: small nuclear RNA, 18 nt
Filed under: Arabidopsis thaliana (thale cress)
Lineage: Eukaryota; Viridiplantae; Streptophyta; Magnoliopsida; Brassicales; Brassicaceae
Description: snRNA_06501
Source: RNAcentral
CCCUGUCGCACCACGAGG